RNAcentral lists this ribosomal RNA (253 nucleotides) under uncultured bacterium. RNAcentral's name for it is "partial 16S ribosomal RNA". It matches the Rfam family "Bacterial small subunit ribosomal RNA", at positions 524 to 776 of the family's 1533-position model. The record is from RNAcentral.
UACGUAGGGUGCAAGCGUUAAUCGGAAUUACUGGGCGUAAAGCGUGCGCAGGCGGUUAUGCAAGACAGAUGUGAAAUCCCCGGGCUCAACCUGGGAACUGCAUCUGUGACUGCAUUGCUGGAGUGCGGCAGAGGGGGAUGGAAUUCCGCGUGUAGCAGUGAAAUGCGUAGAUAUGCGGAGGAACACCGAUGGCGAAGGCAAUCCCCUGGGCCUGCACUGACGCUCAUGCACGAAAGCGUGGGGAGCAAACAGG